ACUCUUCAACCCCCAUAUUUUGUAAUGAGAUAUGGUGCGGCUUGGUUUCUGAGCGUUUUUUGCUGGAUCCAUUCGGAUCGAAGCUCGCUCGUAAUACAUUAGCAUCCUUCUCAUCGAGAUCAGAUUGACUCGGCGUAAUAGACUAUUCGCUGAGGACAUGUCAUUUUGACGUGGCUGACCUUUGAUAUUAUUUGCUGGAAGCUCAUAAAUCCGACAUAACUAGUCAAUUUCUAAG
Molecule: unclassified non-coding RNA, 235 nt
Filed under: uncultured Microbotryales
Lineage: Eukaryota; Fungi; Basidiomycota; Microbotryomycetes; Microbotryales
Description: sequence contains ITS2
Source: RNAcentral